AUGCUCUGGAGAGUGCUAGGUGAGGUAAUUGAAAGCAAUCGAAUUAAUCAAAAUAUUAAAGUAUGGAAGAUAAAAUUAUAAUUGUUCUCAAGACGAAGAGAAGGUUAAACCGAUCUAAACUAGAAAUAGUAAAAGAGAUGAGAAUAUCUGAACUGAAACAUCUAAGUAAGAUAUAAGAAAACCAAAUGGGACUAUCAGAUUACCGGUGAGGGAAAUGAUGGGAGUAUUUAAGUAAUAUCAAGAGAUAUAAAGACAGUAGAACUACUACUAAUACUAAAAACAAUUAUAAAUAUAAAGUACCGCGAGGGAAAAUGUAAUAAAAGCAUUAAAUAUUUAAAUAAAAUAUAUAAAUAAAUAUAUAAAAUAAUUAAAUGAAGAUUAAUGAAGAAAUACUUUAAUAGAGAGCAGCUAUAGAAUAGUGUACCUCUUGUAUAAUGGGUCAGUGAGUUAUUAUUAUUAGCGAAAUAAUUAUAAUUAAAUAUAAUUAGAUAAAGAGUUAAGAAUAAUAGACCCGAAAGUAUAUGAUCUAUACAUUAUCAAGUAUAUUAUGUAUAAUUUAUGUAUAUAUAUAUAUAUAUAAUUUCUAUAAAACUUAUAUGAAUAUAUUGGUCUUUAUAUCUAAAUCAAUAUAAAGAAUUAAAUAUAAUUAGUAUGAGAUAGAGAUAUGUAAUAUGACUGAACAGGUUGGUGUAGCAAUACCUUCUGAAGAAUAAUGUAUUGAAGUGAAAGGCAAAUCUAAUAUACAGAUAGCUGGUUAUCUGCGAAAUAUAUCUCAGUAUAGCAUUUAAUGAAUAACACUAGGUAAAUCACUAAAUUUGAAACAAUGAAUAUAUAUCAAUAUAUUUAUUUAUGGGAGUUAUUAGAAUUUAUCAUACGAAUUUAAUAUCUGAACUAGUUGUUUAUAUAAAAAUUAAAUAGUCAAUCAUAGUGCGAUAAGGUACUAUGAUGAAAAGGAAACAACCUAGACUGUGAAAUGAAAGUCCUUAAUUAUUUUUAAGUGGUAUCAAUCUUAUAUUAUUAUAUAAUUUAUAUAAUAAAUUUCUAAUAAGACAAUUAAUCAGUGGAUAUGAUAGUAAUCAUCUGCUAGAGAACGUGUAACAACGCAUUAAUUGAUAUAUAGAUAAUAAGAGUAGAUAUACGGGCCUAUAAAAAUAGACUGAAUUACAGAUAUAUAAAAUAUGGUAGCAGAUUACACUAUAAAAAUAGUGAAGAAUAUGCUGACUUGAGUAACGUUAGAAGGGAUAAGCCCUUCCUCUGAUAUAUAUAAGGUUUUACAAAAUCAACGGUCUCUAAUUUGAUUAAUGAAUAUUAAUUAAAGAUGAGUAUUAUUACAAGAAAUUAAAUUAACCGUACCGUAAUCCGACUCUGGUAUAUAAAUUUAAUUAUAUUAAUGAUUAAAUCAAUUAAAAGAUUUAUAUAUAUUUAUAAUCUCAAUUAUAAUUAUAUAAGUAUAUAAUGAUAUUUAAUAAUGAUUUCUUCAAUUAAAUAAAUUAAGUAGAGGAGAAUGAGACAAUCCAUAUAAAUGAACUCGGCAAUAAAAGAUUAAACCUUUUAAAUAUAGUGCGACUGUUUACCAAAAACAUAGCCUAUUGCAGAUCUGUAAAGAUUAGUAUAAUAGGUGCUACCUGCCCAGUGUUAGAGAGAUAAUACAUAAUGCUUUAAUUAACGGCGGUCUUAUUAUGAGGAUCCGAAGGUAGCGAAAUUCCUAGACGUUUAAUUGGCGUCCUGCAUGAAUGAGUACACGAUGCUAUAAAUGUAUCUAUAUGGGCCUCAGUGAAAUAGUAAUUGCAGUGAAGAUACUGUAUAACAAUAGAUUGACGAGAAGACCCUAUACAGCUUUACUAUAGUGUUGCCUUAAUAUUAUAUUUCUUUAAAUAAUGUUAUUUAAAUGAAUUAAUAUAUAUUUAAUCAUUUCCAUUCUAUUACAAUUUAUAAUAAUAUAUUAUAUUCGAGUAGUAAUAGCAAUUAAUGAGACAGGGUAACAUGGUUAGUUUCGAUGGGGCGUCGACAUCACAAAAUAUAACUGAUGUGUCUAAAUGACAAAAAUGUAAUCUACUUUAUUAUGUUUUAAUAUUAGUUAUUAAACUUAAUAAGGUUAUAAUAGUAUGAAUAAAUACAGUAAUGCUAAAUGGUAAUUAGUUAUUUUAAUUAUAAUUUAUUCUAUAAUGGAAUUUAUAAUAAAAAUGAUAAAGAUAAUAAUAUAACUGUGUUAUGAUAAUUUAAUUUACAGAUUGAAUUAGUACGUAAGUAUGGUAUAGUGAACAGGCAAUAACUAAGUAUAGUAUGUCGAUAGCGAAUCAAAGUUACGUUAGGGAUAACAGGGUAAUACCGCUAGAGAGUUGAUAUCGUCAGCGGUGUUUGCCACCUCGAUGUCGUCUAGGCUCAACCUUAUGGCCGCAGCAGCUAUAAAGGGUAUGACUGUUCGUCAUAUAAAGAGCUACUUGAGAUGGGUUAAUUACGGCGUGAGCCAGUAAUGUUUCUAUCAUCUAUUGUAUUAUAAUAAACUUUAAAUUACAUGUGUACGAGAGGAUUAUGUAGUCUAAUCCAAUGGUUAUAAUAUAUAUUUAUAUAAAGAUAUAUUAUUAUAAGCUAAGAUUAGUAGAGGUAAAUAUUGACAGCAUAUCAAAUAUGAAACCUAUAACAGUUUAUUAUUAACAUUAAAGAUAAUAAUGAAAUAGUAUUAAUUAUUAUAAAGAUAUAAUAACUAAUAAGAAUUAAAUAUAAGUAUUUAAUGAAAUGAUUAAUGAAAUUGUAA
Molecule: ribosomal RNA, 2755 nt
Filed under: Candida neerlandica
Lineage: Eukaryota; Fungi; Ascomycota; Pichiomycetes; Serinales; Debaryomycetaceae
Description: LSU rRNA
Rfam family: Bacterial large subunit ribosomal RNA
Source: RNAcentral